This 1103-nucleotide ribosomal RNA is filed under the name Aspergillus niger. RNAcentral describes it as "SSU rRNA". It matches the Rfam family "Eukaryotic small subunit ribosomal RNA", at positions 4 to 1116 of the family's 1831-position model. Lineage: Eukaryota; Fungi; Ascomycota; Eurotiomycetes; Eurotiales; Aspergillaceae. The record is from RNAcentral.
CUGGUUGAUUCUGCCAGUAGUCAUAUGCUUGUCUCAAAGAUUAAGCCAUGCAUGUCUAAGUAUAAGCACUUUAUACUGUGAAACUGCGAAUGGCUCAUUAAAUCAGUUAUCGUUUAUUUGAUAGUACCUUACUACAUGGAUACCUGUGGUAAUUCUAGAGCUAAUACAUGCUGAAAACCUCGACUUCGGAAGGGGUGUAUUUAUUAGAUAAAAAACCAAUGCCCUUCGGGGCUCCUUGGUGAAUCAUAAUAACUUAACGAAUCGCAUGGCCUUGCGCCGGCGAUGGUUCAUUCAAAUUUCUGCCCUAUCAACUUUCGAUGGUAGGAUAGUGGCCUACCAUGGUGGCAACGGGUAACGGGGAAUUAGGGUUCGAUUCCGGAGAGGGAGCCUGAGAAACGGCUACCACAUCCAAGGAAGGCAGCAGGCGCGCAAAUUACCCAAUCCCGACACGGGGAGGUAGUGACAAUAAAUACUGAUACGGGGCUCUUUUGGGUCUCGUAAUUGGAAUGAGUACAAUCUAAAUCCCUUAACGAGGAACAAUUGGAGGGCAAGUCUGGUGCCAGCAGCCGCGGUAAUUCCAGCUCCAAUAGCGUAUAUUAAAGUUGUUGCAGUUAAAAAGCUCGUAGUUGAACCUUGGGUCUGGCUGGCCGGUCCGCCUCACCGCGAGUACUGGUCCGGCUGGACCUUUCCUUCUGGGGAAUCUCAUGGCCUUCACUGGCUGUGGGGGGAACCAGGACUUUUACUGUGAAAAAAUUAGAGUGUUCAAAGCAGGCCUUUGCUCGAAUACAUUAGCAUGGAAUAAUAGAAUAGGACGUGCGGUUCUAUUUUGUUGGUUUCUAGGACCGCCGUAAUGAUUAAUAGGGAUAGUCGGGGGCGUCAGUAUUCAGCUGUCAGAGGUGAAAUUCUUGGAUUUGCUGAAGACUAACUACUGCGAAAGCAUUCGCCAAGGAUGUUUUCAUUAAUCAGGGAACGAAAGUUAGGGGAUCGAAGACGAUCAGAUACCGUCGUAGUCUUAACCAUAAACUAUGCCGACUAGGGAUCGGACGGUGUUUCUAUUAUGACCCGUUCGGCACCUUACGAGAAAUCAAAGUUUUUGGGUUCUG